CUUUAUGUCUCUUUGUAGUGACUUUAUGGCUCUUUGUAGUGACUUUGUCUCUUUGUAGUCACUUUGUAGUGACUUUGUGUAUCUUUGUAGUGAGUUUAUGUAUCUUUGUAGAAACUUUGUAGUGAGUUUGUGUAUCUUUGUAGCCACUUAGUGUCUCUUUGUAGUGACUUUAUGUAUCUUUGUAGUGAGUUUGUGUAUCUUUGUAGUGAGGUGGUCAUUUUAUUUACAUUCCAACAGCUCUUGUAGACGCCUGAGCCAGAUCUGUUCAGUAACACAUCCGAGGCCUGACCUCUGACCCUAACCAAGACGUCCUGUGGUCGUCUCCGCAGU
Molecule: long non-coding RNA, 330 nt
Filed under: Cyclopterus lumpus (lumpfish)
Lineage: Eukaryota; Metazoa; Chordata; Actinopteri; Perciformes; Cyclopteridae
Description: lncRNA (ENSCLMG00005004429.1)
Source: RNAcentral